GUGGUUAGAGUGUCAGCCCACAGUCUGGAGAGACCCGGGUCAAUGCAAAAAUGUCCUUGAGUGAAGAUUAAGAAAAAACACAACAACAACAAAGCUUCCAGUCAUCUAGUCCCAAUUCUCCAGGCCUCACUUCAUCUUUGCUCACAAUAGCCUGCUUUAGGUCACUGCUGAAAGGGUGCUUUCUUGCUGAGUUCAGCACUCACCGCUUCCACUGCCGCAGGAGGAUAAGCAGCAGAGUGCACAUCAUGGAGCCAAGGCGGAGGCAGUUUACUGAGGC
Molecule: long non-coding RNA, 277 nt
Organism: Molossus molossus (Pallas's mastiff bat)
Lineage: Eukaryota; Metazoa; Chordata; Mammalia; Chiroptera; Molossidae
Exons: 3
Source: RefSeq, a predicted model, not a curated record